UGGGGAAUCUUGCGCAAUGGGCGAAAGCCUGACGCAGCCAUGCCGCGUGAAUGAUGAAGGUCUUAGGAUUGUAAAAUUCUUUCACCGGGGACGAUAAUGACGGUACCCGGAGAAGAAGCCCCGGCUAACUUCGUGCCAGCAGCCGCGGUAAUACGAAGGGGGCUAGCGUUGCUCGGAAUUACUGGGCGUAAAGGGAGCGUAGGCGGAUAGUUUAGUCAGAGGUGAAAGCCCAGGGCUCAACCUUGGAAUUGCCUUUGAUACUGGCUAUCUUGAGUAUGGGAGAGGUGUGUGGAACUCCGAGUGUAGAGGUGAAAUUCGUAGAUAUUCGGAAGAACACCAGUGGCGAAGGCGACACACUGGCCCAUUACUGACGCUGAGGCUCGAAAGCGUGGGGAGCAAACA
This 402-nucleotide ribosomal RNA is filed under the name uncultured Caulobacter sp. RNAcentral's name for it is "bacterial SSU rRNA". It matches the Rfam family "Bacterial small subunit ribosomal RNA", at positions 355 to 774 of the family's 1533-position model. Lineage: Bacteria; Pseudomonadati; Pseudomonadota; Alphaproteobacteria; Caulobacterales; Caulobacteraceae. The record is from RNAcentral.